UGGUUCAGAGUAUAAAAGUGGGUGAAGAGGAAAGGGUGCCGAUGGAGAUAAUCCUUGCACGGGGGGAUAAAAAGCAGGACUCAAAUCAUACCUUUUCAAUCCUUUUGGAGCAGCGAUAUCGUGAAGAUGACCAAACCAAUCUGUCUGGUGUUUGCCCUACUGAUUCUGACCAUCAUUUUGUGCAACAACUCAGUCUGUUCACAGAGGAGAUCCAUGAAACAAUCUGCUGUUUGUGGCUGCAAACUUUACCCUGAUAAGGGCCUAAAGUGUACAAAAAGACCCAACCCUAAAUCCAGAGAUGAAUACUAUGAAAUUCUGAAGUGCAUUUGCAGGGACACCCAAAUAUUCUCAAAAAGCAGCAGGAAAGAAUAUCUAAAGAGGUGCAACAAAUUUUACCCUUCUCUUCCUUUGUGAGCUGAUAAAUGUGCAGGUUUAUGAGGCUCCUCUGUAUCAGUUAAUCCAUAUCUAUAAAAAUAACACAUGCAUUUAUUGUCUAACGCAAGUGGAAUAAUAAUUAAAAGCUCUCAUUUCAUCAAUGUUACAUGUGUAAUUGAUCUAUUUGAAUGCAAUAAAGUGUUUUUCUGUUA
This is a non-coding RNA of Danio rerio (zebrafish), 587 nucleotides long. The record is from RefSeq and is a predicted model, not a curated record. Lineage: Eukaryota; Metazoa; Chordata; Actinopteri; Cypriniformes; Danionidae.